Molecule: small nuclear RNA, 106 nt
Filed under: Castor canadensis (American beaver)
Lineage: Eukaryota; Metazoa; Chordata; Mammalia; Rodentia; Castoridae
Source: RNAcentral
AAGGAAGGGUGCUUACUUCAGGAGCAAAACUGGAAUGUUACAGAGAACAACUUCCUGGCCCCUGUGCAAGGAUGUCACACAAAUUUAUGAAGUGAUCUAUACUUUU